This 390-nucleotide unclassified non-coding RNA is filed under the name uncultured fungus. Its description in RNAcentral is "partial contains 5.8S ribosomal RNA and internal transcribed spacer 2". The stretch from base 1 to 133 matches the Rfam family "5.8S ribosomal RNA", at positions 22 to 154 of the family's 154-position model. Lineage: Eukaryota; Fungi. The record is from RNAcentral.
UGGCUCUUGCAUCGAUGAAGAACGCAGCGAAAUGCGAUAAGUAAUGUGAAUUGCAGAAUUCAGUGAAUCAUCGAAUCUUUGAACGCACCUUGCGCUCCUUGGUAUUCCGAGGAGCAUGCCUGUUUGAGUGUCAUGAACACCCUCAACUCCCGCUCCGCGUCUUGAUUGACCGGAGGGGUGGGUUGGACUUGGGGGAGUUGCCGGCUGUAAAGCCGGCUCCCCUUGAAUGCAUUAGCUCGGACCUGCCAGUAAUCGGACUUGCGGCGGUGUAAUGAUUUUAUUACCACCUGCCUUUGCUUGACCGAGGCGAAUUGGGCCGGCUUCUAACUGUCCGUGACCGGACUUGAGAUUUCAGUCAUUGACCUCAAAUCAGGUAGGACUACCCGCUGA